UCUGUAGGUUUAAGUUUAGUGAUGGCACCUCUACAGAUGAAACAGCAAUCUCUGUGGAAGAGAAAGCAAUAGUUUGCCCUGGAGUUGAACUGGAGGAAGCUGGAGAGGAAAUCUUUGUUGAAAUCAGCCUGAACAAAGGCCAAACCUUCUUUGCCAAUAACCUCAAAUUCACCAGCCAACUCUGUG
This is a long non-coding RNA of Choloepus didactylus (southern two-toed sloth), 186 nucleotides long. RefSeq lists it as uncharacterized. The transcript is spliced from 3 exons. Lineage: Eukaryota; Metazoa; Chordata; Mammalia; Pilosa; Megalonychidae. The record is from RefSeq and is a predicted model, not a curated record.